Nematostella vectensis (starlet sea anemone) is the source of this 440-nucleotide long non-coding RNA. RefSeq lists it as uncharacterized. NCBI's taxonomy places the organism in Eukaryota, Metazoa, Cnidaria, Anthozoa, Actiniaria, Edwardsiidae. The record is from RefSeq and is a predicted model, not a curated record. The transcript is spliced from 2 exons.
CCUCCUUUCUCGGUGAAGACUUUCGUUCGCGCAAGGUCCAGCGCCUAAAUGAAGAUAAAACCAUAAGAUUGGUCAACAUAAAUGAGUCGUAUUCUCAAGAUGGGUCGACAUAAAGGAGUCAUUGUCGUUGUAUGUGCACGCAUAAUUCAUGUGUGUAGCUCUGCUGACAUAUGAUACUCACCUGCUCAGUCUUGGUGUGCCCUUGGACGAACACCAUCUUGAAUAUUGCGUUCUUGAUAGCUUUUGGUGAGCGGUAGGUGUUUAGUGAGAAGAUAACGUCAGCGAAGUCUGAGUACCGGAUCAGGCCGACCCGAGUGCUAUUGUUAGUGACGUUGAACCCACGGAUGACCUAGAGGGGGUGGGGAAGGACAAAUAUUUUAUAUAACGAUAAAAAGAUCUGUAAGAUAGCAUGCAUAUGCAGCCCAAACCAGAGAGAAAAA